RNAcentral lists this ribosomal RNA (495 nucleotides) under uncultured bacterium. Its description in RNAcentral is "partial 16S ribosomal RNA". It matches the Rfam family "Bacterial small subunit ribosomal RNA", at positions 28 to 507 of the family's 1533-position model. The record is from RNAcentral.
GACGAACGCUGGCGGCGUGCCUAAUACAUGCAAGUAGAACGCUGAAGGAGGAGCUUGCUUCUCUGGAUGAGUUGUGAACGGGUGAGUAACGCGUAGGUAACCUGCCUGGUAGCGGGGGAUAACUAUUGGAAACGAUAGCUAAUACCGCAUAAGAGUAGAUGUUGCAUGACAUUUGCUUAAAAGGUGCAAUUGCAUCACUACCAGAUGGACCUGCGUUGUAUUAGCUAGUUGGUGGGGUAACGGCUCACCAAGGCGACGAUACAUAGCCGACCUGAGAGGGUGAUCGGCCACACUGGGACUGAGACACGGCCCAGACUCCUACGGGAGGCAGCAGUAGGGAAUCUUCGGCAAUGGACGGAAGUCUGACCGAGCAACGCCGCGUGAGUGAAGAAGGUUUUCGGAUCGUAAAGCUCUGUUGUAAGAGAAGAACGAGUGUGAGAGUGGAAAGUUCACACUGUGACGGUAUCUUACCAGAAAGGGACGGCUAACUACGUG